RNAcentral lists this ribosomal RNA (494 nucleotides) under uncultured bacterium. RNAcentral describes it as "partial 16S ribosomal RNA". It matches the Rfam family "Bacterial small subunit ribosomal RNA", at positions 28 to 507 of the family's 1533-position model. The record is from RNAcentral.
GACGAACGCUGGCGGCGUGCUUAACACAUGCAAGUCGAACGGAAAGGCCUGCUUUCCCUUGUGGAUUGCGGGUACUCGAGUGGCGAACGGGUGAGUAACACGUGAGUGAUCUGCCCCCAACUUGGGUAUAAGCCUGGGAAACUGGGUCUAAUUCCCGAUAGGACUGCAGGGUGGUGCCUGUUGUGGAAAACGAUUUUCUAGUGGUUGGGGAUGAGCUCGCGGCCUAUCAGCUUGUUGGUGGGGUAAUGGCCUACCAAGGCGGCGACGGGUAGCCGGCCUGAGAGGGUGGACGGCCACAUUGGGACUGAGAUACGGCCCAGACUCCGACGGGAGGCAGCAGUGGGGAAUAUUGCACAAUGGGCGGAAGCCUGAUGCAGCGACGCCGCGUGGGGGAUGACGGCCUUCGGGUUGUAAACUCCUUUCGACCGCGAGGAAGCCACCUGGUUGGAAGGGUGGUGACGGUAGUGGUAGAAGAAGCACCGGCUAACUACGUG